AGACCCGAAACCCGGUGAUCUAGCCAUGGGCAGGUUGAAGGUUGGGUAACACUAACUGGAGGACCGAACCGACUAAUGUUGAAAAAUUAGCGGAUGACCUGUGGCUGGGGGUGAAAGGCCAAUCAAACCGGGAGAUAGCUGGUUCUCCCCGAAAGCUAUUUAGGUAGCGCCUCGUGAAUUCAUCUCCGGGGGUAGAGCACUGUUUCGGCUAGGGGGUCAUCCCGACUUACCAACCCGAUGCAAACUGCGAAUACCGGAGAAUGUUAUCACGGGAGACACACGGCGGGUGCUAACGUCCGUCGUGAAGAGGGAAACAACCCAGACCGCCAGCUAAGGUCCCAAAGUCAUGGUUAAGUGGGAAACGAUGUGGGAAGGCCCAGACAGCCAGGAUGUUGGCUUAGAAGCAGCCAUCAUUUAAAGAAAGCGUAAUAGCUCACUGGUCGAGUCGGCCUGCGCGGAAGAUGUAACGGGGCUAAACCAUGCACCGAAGCUGCGGCAGCGACGCUUAUGCGUUGUUGGGUAGG
This 524-nucleotide ribosomal RNA is filed under the name Salmonella enterica. RNAcentral's name for it is "partial 23S ribosomal RNA". It matches the Rfam family "Bacterial large subunit ribosomal RNA", at positions 711 to 1232 of the family's 2925-position model. The record is from RNAcentral. Lineage: Bacteria; Pseudomonadati; Pseudomonadota; Gammaproteobacteria; Enterobacterales; Enterobacteriaceae.